This 325-nucleotide ribosomal RNA is filed under the name uncultured eukaryote. RNAcentral's name for it is "partial 18S ribosomal RNA". It matches the Rfam family "Eukaryotic small subunit ribosomal RNA", at positions 1470 to 1796 of the family's 1831-position model. The record is from RNAcentral.
CCCUUAGAUGUCCUGGGCCGCACGCGCGCUACACUGAUGCAUUCAACGAGUAUUUCCUUGGCCGAGAGGCCUGGGCAAUCUUUUAAACCUGCAUCGUGAUAGGGAUAGAUUAUUGCAAUUAUUAAUCUUGAACGAGGAAUUCCUAGUAAACGCAAAUCAUCAAUUUGCAUUGAUUACGUCCCUGCCCUUUGUACACACCGCCCGUCGCACCUACCGAUUGAAUGGUCCGGUGAAAUCUCGGGAUUGUGGCCAGUUCACUUUAUUGGGAGUUGGCUGCGAGAACUUGCUUAAACCCUAUCAUUUAGAGGAAGGUGAAGUCGUAACA